UUUUUAAAUGUAAUCUUGUAUGAACGGUUGAACGAAGGAAAAGCUGUUUUUGAAUUAAAAUUUGAAUUUAACUUUUAAGUGAGAAGGCUUAAAUAUUCUAAAGGGACGAUAAGACCCUAUAAAACUUUAUAUUAUAAUUAUAUUUAAUUGAAUUUAAAUAUAAAUAUUUAAUUUAAUUGUUUUAUUAUGUUGGGGAGAUAAAGAUAAAAUUUAUAUUAACUGUCUAGUAAAUACACAAUAAAUAAUUGAUUCAAAAUAGAUUAAUAGAUCCUAAUUAUAGAUUAAAAGAUUAAGUUACUUUAGGGAUAACAGUGUUAUUUUUUUUGAGAGUUCAUAUCGAAAAAGGAGUUUGCAACCUCGAUGUUGAAUUAAGAUAUCUAUAUAAUGUAGCUGUUAUAUAAGAAGGUCUGUUCGACCUUUAAUUUUUUAC
Molecule: ribosomal RNA, 430 nt
Filed under: Gecarcinucus jacquemontii
Lineage: Eukaryota; Metazoa; Arthropoda; Malacostraca; Decapoda; Gecarcinucidae
Description: partial 16S ribosomal RNA
Rfam family: Bacterial large subunit ribosomal RNA (bases 305-430)
Source: RNAcentral